AGAUGUGAGGAUGAUCUGGCUGUGACAGAUUGAUUCUUAGGGUUGAUUUGUCGAUCCGUUUGGCCAAUCAAGUGUUCCUUUCCUCCCUCACCACUCCAUUAUCUUCCUCCAAAUCUGCACUUUGUUGAAGAGGACAAACUUCUCUGACAGAGGAGGACCAUUCUUUGGUCAAAGGUAUAAGAGUGUCUGCACUCCCCUGUUAGAACCUCCAAACAAACUCAAGAAAGGCCUCUGUAUUCCCAAACCACCUAAGGGAAUUUAUUUGUAAGGAACACCUCAAAUUUAGGUAUCUUU
RNAcentral lists this small nuclear RNA (294 nucleotides) under Castor canadensis (American beaver). Its description in RNAcentral is "7SK RNA (ENSCCNG00000012743.1)". It matches the Rfam family "7SK RNA". From Rfam's summary of the family: 7SK was discovered as an abundant small nuclear RNA in the mid-70s but a possible function has only recently been suggested. Two independent studies have found that 7SK RNA binds the CDK9/cyclin T complex (known as elongation factor P-TEFb). Lineage: Eukaryota; Metazoa; Chordata; Mammalia; Rodentia; Castoridae. The record is from Rfam by way of RNAcentral.